UAACGGGCGUUAAUAACCACGCCCUGUUAGACUGAGCAUGGUCCACCCGCGAAUCCUCUACAGAGAUGGCUAAGCGCUGGGGUCCUGGCUGCGUCCUCUAGGCCAGCAUUGCUGCCCUUCACUUUCUUGCAGCCUGUGCAAAGGACCUUCUCACCACAGAUCAGUCAGACCAUCUUCCUCCUUCCAAGUCAUCAAAGAGUUCCAAGCUGGUCACCUGUCCCUUGAUGUUCCCAGGAAACCAGGAAAGAGGACCCCUGCAUUUUAUCUUCCCAUCCAGAGUGGCAGGAUCUCUGCCUGGGAAACAGGCUGCAUUCAGCACAGCUGUGGUAGCAUUAACAAGGCAAAGUGGGCACAUCUAGAAGUUGAAGCUAAAACAUUCAAGAACUCCAGUCUGUUUCUGUGGAUGUUAAGGGGGUGAAGAUAAAACAAUGGAGGUGAUGAGGAGGAAUAACGAAGACAGUUUAAAGCCACAGUGGUACAAAGAAUGAGGAGAAGGAAGGUGCUGGAUUUUACUAAGAAAACAGACUGAGUUCAGGAGUCUCACCAGUAGAAGUUUAUAGUAUUGCAUUUCGAUUACAUGUGUGUGAAUUUUA
Molecule: non-coding RNA, 593 nt
Filed under: Pongo abelii (Sumatran orangutan)
Lineage: Eukaryota; Metazoa; Chordata; Mammalia; Primates; Hominidae
Source: RNAcentral